GUCUUAGUUUGACUGGCACGAAAUUUGAGUCUAGAACUUUUCUCUCUUUAACUAAAAUUGUAUAUAAUAUACCAAAAAUAACCGUUGAGUCUUGUGGGUUUUUAGUCAUGUCAUAGUUAUUCCUAUGAGGGAGUGUCAUUAAGGUUUAAUUGAGAAUGUUGGAACUAAAGGCUUACUGAAUAUAGAAAGUGGUUUUCUUUAUGAAACAGAGUAAAAAAGAAAUUGAGGCACAUAAAUUGAAAUAGAGGGAGUUUAAGUUAGUAAUAGUACCUUCUAUUAGUUCAAUCUUCUGCCACCAUUCCCUUCCGCUCGUUUUCCUUUUUUUUCUUGUUCUGUUGCAUAGACUUCAACUUGCAAUCUGACUAAACUUCCCCUUCGCUCGUUUUCUUUUUUUUUCUUGUUCUGUUGCAUAGACUUCAACUUGCAAUCUGACUAAAUAUUAUUUAUUAUUCUUAUUAUUGUUAAUUAUUAUUUCACACAUUGGUAAAUUUGUCAUUGUGCAUGUGUACACUAAUGCUGCUCGGUGGUAAUUGGUAAUCCAGCUACGAGGCAAACUAUUCCGAUACCUGUUAAUUCAAAGCAUCAAAAUUCCAACUUGGUAGACUGUUCGCUGGUUUUUGAUCCAGGCGAGUCGUUAGAAUACAAGAUUAUUCGGUUUGUUCACUCGGUUGGUAAAUUAGGUUAGUGGAUGUUUAUUCUUCUGAGACUGGAAACUGGAUCGAGUACAAACUUCCUCUUGCACCUGAGAUCUCUGGACUAGGGUGGCUUAAAAAUUCAGUCUAUCUAAAUGGAGUUCUGUACAAGAUAUCCCGUGAUGGAAGGCUCAUUUGCAUAGACGUAAAAUCCAAUCCUACUAAUUUGAAUGCUUGGUCUACGGUCUACCCUUGAAUUGCCAUUUCAGCCACUCACAGAUGAGUAUGCAGGUUCUAUUGGAGCAUCAAGAGGCAAUCUUUAUUGCUUCAAUCGAGAUGCAUCUAACUUUCUUCUUUGGAAGCUGAAGAAUGGUGUUCAAUGGGUUCAGGAAUACAAUAUAAGCAUAUAUAGGCUGAUUCAUAGUUCUGUUGGCCGUUAUUAUUGUAAGGUUUUGGGAGAUAAGGUGUGGACUAACUUUCAGCCUUGUGUCUUUCUUCAUACUCUGGACGAAAUUCUCAUUGGAACUCCUUGGUUUCUCGCAACUUAUAGUCAUAAAAGAAGCGAUUUUGAUUGGUAUGACAUAGAGAUGCGUGGCUGUAAGACAAGAAGAUUGGGGCAAUCUUUUGCUUACUCGCGAAGCCUUGUUGUCUUCAAUAGCAUCAUCCAUAGGCAUUACGAAUCAUCUGCCUCGUUCAGUAAGUACAAGCUUAUUUAUACUUGUAUCGUGCUAUUCAACUUGCAUAUUUUAUAAGAAUGCAAAAAAUUACUUGCUCCAUUCCAUUUUUUUCUGUCUUAGUUUGACUGGCACGAAAUUUGAGUCUAGAACUUUUUUCUCCUUAACUAAAAUUGUAUAUAAUAUACCAAAAAUAACCGUUGAGGCUUGUAGGUUUUUUAGUCAUGUCAUAGUUAUUCCUAUGAGGGAGUGUCAUUAAGGUUAAAAUGAGAAUGUUGGAACUAAAGGCUUACUGAAUGUAGAAAGUGGUAUUCUUUAUGAAACAGAGUAAAAAAGAAAUUGAGGCACAUAAAUUGAAAUAGAGGGAGUUUAAGUUAGUAAUAGUACCUUCUAUUAGUUCAAUCUUCUGCCACCAUUCCCUUCCGCUCGUUUUCCUUUUUUUUCUUGUUCUGUUGCAUAGACUUCAACUUGCAAUCUGACUAAAUAUUAUUUAUUAUUAUUAUUAUU
This 1813-nucleotide long non-coding RNA is filed under the name Nicotiana benthamiana. RNAcentral describes it as "long non-coding RNA (NBEN_LNC018506)". The record is from RNAcentral. Lineage: Eukaryota; Viridiplantae; Streptophyta; Magnoliopsida; Solanales; Solanaceae.